RNAcentral lists this ribosomal RNA (496 nucleotides) under uncultured bacterium. RNAcentral's name for it is "partial 16S ribosomal RNA". It matches the Rfam family "Bacterial small subunit ribosomal RNA", at positions 28 to 507 of the family's 1533-position model. The record is from RNAcentral.
GAUGAACGCUGGCGGCGUGCCUAAUACAUGCAAGUCGAGCGAACAGACGAGGAGCUUGCUCCUCUGACGUUAGCGGCGGACGGGUGAGUAACACGUGGAUAACCUACCUAUAAGACUGGGAUAACUUCGGGAAACCGGAGCUAAUACCGGAUAAUAUAUUGAACCGCAUGGUUCAAUAGUGAAAGACGGUUUUGCUGUCACUUAUAGAUGGAUCCGCGCCGCAUUAGCUAGUUGGUAAGGUAACGGCUUACCAAGGCAACAAUGCGUAGCCGACCUGAGAGGUGGAUCGCCCACACUGGACCUGAGACCGGGCCCAGAAUCCUCCGGGAGGCAGCGGUGGGGAAUCUUCCGAAAUGGGCGAAAGCCUGCCGGAGCAACGCGGCGUGAGUGAUGAGGGUCUUCGAAUCGUAAACUCUGUUAUUAGGGAAGAACAAAUGUGUAAGUAACUAUGCACGUCUUGACGGUACCUAAUCAGAAAGCCACGGCUAACUACGUG